This is a non-coding RNA of Myotis lucifugus (little brown bat), 75 nucleotides long. NCBI's taxonomy places the organism in Eukaryota, Metazoa, Chordata, Mammalia, Chiroptera, Vespertilionidae. The record is from Rfam.
GGUGGUUCUUGGGUGACGCACCCGGGAAUCGGGCUCCCUUCUCUCUGGUUCUGGGUGUGUCACUCGAGAACCGCU